Mya arenaria is the source of this 634-nucleotide long non-coding RNA. RefSeq lists it as uncharacterized. The record is from RefSeq and is a predicted model, not a curated record. The transcript has 2 exons. Lineage: Eukaryota; Metazoa; Mollusca; Bivalvia; Myida; Myidae.
UUGAAAACAAAUGUUAUCCAGGUUUAAUAUGAUUUCAUCGACAUUGAUGUGAUUUCGUAUUUAAAGAGAUGAUCAGGAUAGCUUACCAAUAAUAAAAUGCGCGGCAUACUGAUUUUCUGCAUUAUGAUACUUGCUGUGUCAGGAACUACUCCUAAUCCGAGGGCCGGAGCCGCGUGUCGCUGUGCGAUAUCUUGCGGUUCCUCUGAAUGUUAUGCCGGAAGAUGUAUCGGCGCCCCUUCGAUAAGGUUUGGAUGGUGCUGCAAUAGGGGACAUCCGAGAUGUCACUGAAAUACUGCAUGUGACCGCUUGCAGCUGAGAUUUUGUCAAAGAUUAUGUGCUAUAAUUACACCUUGCUUAAACUGUAAUUGAGACGUGUUAUAAGUGAUAAAAAACAACAACUUAUUAUCAUUUGCUUAUAGCAAAUAUCACAAUACGCAAUUUUAAUAAUGCAUACUACCUUUUUUCUCAAUUCAUUGAACUAUUAACGCAAUGCUAUUCAAUUGGUUUUGCUUGUAAGAGUUUAUAUUUGUGUGCACAUUAGAAUGCGCUGAUGUAUGUAAUUGUUUGCUGUAUAAUAUAUUUUUGUGCUUCAUAUUUAUUGAAUAAAUCGCAUUAAAUGCGUUUAAGAUAUGAA